CCGAUAUACCUCAAGGAGUUGCGCGAGAGCUCCCAUGAUUGUGAGCCCCAUUCCACGAUUCGAUAAGAUUGCUGGAUGUGCCUUCAUGUAUCUUUGUUGCUCUCCUGUGGUUAGUCGUGGACAUACCACUCUACACGGUGAUCGCGCUGGUCAAGAGCCCCUACAUGCUCUUCGGAGGCUGGCAGAGGCUGCUGUACGACCUCAUCAGCCGCGAAGGCCCGUUCCUUGAAACAGUUUGUGUGCCGAUCGCUGGCCUGACCAUCCUUUUCUGGCCGCUGGUGGUGGUUGGCAGCGUUUUGUUGGCUAUUGUCUUGAGCAUUUUCGUGGGCCUCUACGGCACAGUCAUUGUCUUCCAGAAGAAAUCAUUUCAAAGGGGAGUUUCUUAUGUUGUGGCCAAUGUUGCAGAGUUCAAUGAGUACACCAAUGAGUUUCUUAUUUUUUGCAGAAUUUAAAUGUUUUAGUAGUCGUUCGAUUCAAUGUAUUCCAACUUUACUUUGUUAUAUCAAUUUUAAAUCUCACGUUAUGUAUAAA
This is a long non-coding RNA of Panicum virgatum (switchgrass), 531 nucleotides long. RefSeq lists it as uncharacterized. The transcript has 3 exons. The record is from RefSeq and is a predicted model, not a curated record. Lineage: Eukaryota; Viridiplantae; Streptophyta; Magnoliopsida; Poales; Poaceae.